CAGGCAAGGACACCGCCUGCCGUCUCCACUCCGGGGUCUUCCCCGCCCAGGGGUAGAACCACAGAACCGCUUGCACUUCAGGCAGAUUCUUUACUGAUUGAGACACCGGGAAAGCCUGAGGGUUAUAACUAUUCAGCUGAAGCUGAAACUCCAAUACUUUGGCCACCUGAUGUGAAGAACUGACUCAUUGGAAAAGACCCUGGGCAAGGCUGAAGGCAGGAGGAGAAGGGGACGACAGAGGAUGAGAUGGUUGGAUGGCAUCACUGACUCGAUGGACGUGAGUUUGAGCAGGAGUUGGUGAUGGACAGGGAGCCCUGGCGUGCUGCAGUCCAUGCGGUCGCAAAGAGUUGGACACAACUGAGCAACUGAACUGAACUGAAAUUAUAGGAAUGGGCUUCCCUGGUGGCUCAGUGGUAGAGAAUCCGCCUGCUGAACAGGAGAGACAGGUUCGAUCCAUGGGUCAGGAAGAUCCUCUGGGGAAGUACAUGGCACCCACUCCAGUCUUCUUACCUGGAGAAUUCCAUGAACAGAGGUGCCUGGCAGGCUACAGUCCAUGGAACUGCAGAGUCAGAUGUGAUUUAACAACUGGAACAGCAACAAGCAUGAGACAAGGGCCCUGUAACCAGCAGUUGCCCAGGGCAACGAGAGAAGCCACGCAGUGAGAAGCCGUGCGCCGCAACUGGAGAAGGCCUGCGCACAGCAGCAGAGACCGCACGGCAGGAAGAUGGCCAACAGCAGAAGCCGGUGACACGGGCAGAGAUGCCUGUAGGGACGGUGACGCGGUCACGAGUAUUUAGGCUGAGAAUUCCGUUCGGUGUCCCCCGGCGUCUCCCCAGGUCAUCUGAGCAGUCUUGAAGGGAGACGCUCUGUUGACUUCGUCCCUGAAGCCCACCAAAGACGCGUGCACGUCCACGGCCCGCAGGGCCAUCGCAGCCCGUCCAUCGCAGCCCGUACAGGACUGAGAAAGCAGUGUUGUCUCCCGAGCGGCUCCAUCUGGCGCCAGGAGAGGAAAGUGGAUCUUUACGGCUGAGCAGGUAAUUCUGCUUCAGGGCGUCUGGAUGGUGCAUCAGCCAGAAGCACAGGGCACAGCUGGGGAGUGGGCGCGAUUGCCCGGCGGGCAGCUGCGCUGGGGGACCCCGGGACAGGGUGGGUCCUGGCACAGGCCUCGGCCUGCAGGUGCCAGCCCUGUCCUGAACAGCUUCACCCGCAGAGCUGUCGCUGUCCGCAGGGAACAGGCCAGGGCGGAGGCGGUGGUCUGAAAGGGAGGGGCUCGUGUCCCUUCGUUCUCACCCUCAGCCCCUGCCCCGGCCUGGCGCAGGCCCAGAGGGUGGCGGCCCCUGGAAGCGGGACCCCCUUCUCUCGGUC
This is a long non-coding RNA of Bos taurus (domestic cattle), 1365 nucleotides long. Lineage: Eukaryota; Metazoa; Chordata; Mammalia; Artiodactyla; Bovidae. The record is from Ensembl.